Aethalodelphis obliquidens (Pacific white-sided dolphin) is the source of this 107-nucleotide small nuclear RNA. The record is from RefSeq and is a predicted model, not a curated record. NCBI's taxonomy places the organism in Eukaryota, Metazoa, Chordata, Mammalia, Artiodactyla, Delphinidae.
GUGCUGGCUUCUGCAGCACAUAUACUAAUAUUGGAAAGAUACAGAGAAGAUUAGCAUGACCCCUGCACAAGGAGGACAUGCAAAUUCAUGAAGCAUUCCUUUUUUUU